This 495-nucleotide ribosomal RNA is filed under the name uncultured bacterium. Its description in RNAcentral is "partial 16S ribosomal RNA". It matches the Rfam family "Bacterial small subunit ribosomal RNA", at positions 28 to 523 of the family's 1533-position model. The record is from RNAcentral.
GAUGAACGCUAGCGGGAGGCCUAACACAUGCAAGUCGAACGGGAUUGGGAGCUUGCUCCCAUGAGAGGGCGCACGGGUGAGUAACGCGUAUGCAACCUACCUUUAACUGAGGGAUAGCCCAUAGAAAUGUGGAUUAAUACCUCAUAGUUCUUUUGGCCCGCAUGGGUCGAUAGAUAAAGCUCCGGCGGUUAAAGAUGGGCAUGCGUGACAUUAGCUAGUUGGUAAGGUAACGGCUUACCAAGGCUACGAUGUCUAGGGGUUCUGAGAGGAUGAUCCCCCACACUGGUACUGAGACACGGACCAGACUCCUACGGGAGGCAGCAGUGAGGAAUAUUGGUCAAUGGGCGCAAGCCUGAACCAGCCAUCCCGCGUGAAGGAUGAAGGCCCUAUGGGUCGUAAACUUCUUUUAUACACCAAGAAAAAUCCCCACGUGUGGGGACCCGACGGUAGUGUAUGAAUAAGCAUCGGCUAACUCCGUGCCAGCCGCCGCCGUAA